RNAcentral lists this ribosomal RNA (274 nucleotides) under uncultured bacterium. Its description in RNAcentral is "partial 16S ribosomal RNA". It matches the Rfam family "Bacterial small subunit ribosomal RNA", at positions 523 to 796 of the family's 1533-position model. The record is from RNAcentral.
AUACGGAGGGCGCAAGCGUUGUUCGGAAUCAUUGGGCGUAAAGCGGGUGCAGGCGGUGAAGUCAGUCGGAUGUGAAAGCCCAGGGCCCAACCCUGGAACUGCAUUCGAAACUGCUUCACUAGAGUCCCGGAGAGGAAGGCGGAAUUCCCGGUGUAGAGGUGAAAUUCGUAGAUAUCGGGAGGAACACCAGUGGCGAAGGCGGCCUUCUGGACGGUGACUGACGCUCAGACCCGAAAGCGUGGGGAGCAAACAGGAGUAGAUACCCCAGUAGUCC